AGUGAACGCUGGCGGUAGGCCUAACACAUGCAAGUCGAACGGCAGCACAGUAAGAGCUUGCUCUUACGGGUGGCGAGUGGCGGACGGGUGAGGAAUACAUCGGAAUCUACUUUUUCGUGGGGGAUAACGUAGGGAAACUUACGCUAAUACCGCAUACGACCUACGGGUGAAAGCAGGGGAUCUUCGGACCUUGCGCGAUUGAAUGAGCCGAUGUCGGAUUAGCUAGUUGGCGGGGUAAAGGCCCACCAAGGCGACGAUCCGUAGCUGGUCUGAGAGGAUGAUGAGCGACACGGGAACUGAGACACGGUCCAGACUCCUACGGGAGGCAGCAGUGGGGAAUAUUGGACAAUGGGCGCAAGCCUGAUCCAGCCAUACCGCGUGGGUGAAGAAGGCCUUCGGGUUGUAAAGCCCUUUUGGUGGGAAAGAAAAGCAGCAGGUUAAUACCCCGCGGUUCUGACGGUACCCAAAGAAUAAGCACCGGCUAACUUCGUG
RNAcentral lists this ribosomal RNA (492 nucleotides) under uncultured bacterium. RNAcentral's name for it is "partial 16S ribosomal RNA". It matches the Rfam family "Bacterial small subunit ribosomal RNA", at positions 29 to 507 of the family's 1533-position model. The record is from RNAcentral.